RNAcentral lists this long non-coding RNA (1252 nucleotides) under Physcomitrium patens. RNAcentral describes it as "long non-coding RNA (PPAT_LNC002941)". The record is from RNAcentral. Lineage: Eukaryota; Viridiplantae; Streptophyta; Bryopsida; Funariales; Funariaceae.
UUUGAACCCCACACCGAACAUGCCCGGACACAAUUCACCCAAACCCUCAAAACCACGCUACACUACCCAUCCACCGCUGCCCGGCGCAACAUUUGGCACGCGUAUUCACACACUCCACGACAUAAACCCUAAAACGACAAGAUCACUCCGCACACCCUCCCGAAGAUUUGCUCUUAUCGUGCGCGAUAGUCAAGCGACCAUCAAACUACCACCUUGUGCAGACCACGUCCCAAAUACACACACAGUGCCCAGCAACUUCAACAAUCAAAAGCUUCGUCCAACUCAACAAGUCUAACGUCCAGUACGCCACUGACCAUUCCACUCCGACAUCCAACAACAUCUCGCAGGUCUUCCACCGAUGGCGAAGGGGUUGAGCAACCGACAAUGUUCCAGCGACACGCACUUUACCAUCCAUGGUUGUACAAUCCCAUCACCCUUUCACAGCGAAAACCACUCCACAGGUCGUUCGAUACUCUCUACCAACCCACCGAAGCCUUAAUUGUCAUGCUUUGCACGCCAUAACAUGCCCCUCAUAAGGACUCCGAAAACAAAAUCACGCUUCGACACAGACAAAUCGUCAAAAGCACUCAGCUACAUAUACGUUGCAAACAAACUAAUUGAGACUUUCAAAAGUCAAAAUCACAAAAAAAAGAAGAAAAGUCGGGGUUCUCAAGACUCUGAUAAAGCUUCGCUUCUGACACCAAGACCACCAUCUUCUAACCACGCAUGCAUCUGAAGCUACUCUGUCCACUCACACAUGUACCAUAACACACCCACACUCCCCGUUUCCACAAUGUCAUGCCACCACCCCAAUCCCCACCAGCUCUACCAUCGAACUUUCUCACAAUCUACAUUCAGACCACCCACACAACCUCAAUGAUCCAUCCAUUCCACUACCAGUACUUCAAACACACACACACACACACACACACACCUUCCCAACCCCCACUUUCCAUGCUCCACACACACCAUCACGAUCAACUCAUCGACAUCUCCACAAAUGCCACACAAACAUCCCAAAGGUCCUCCAUAACCACACAUCCCCGAACUAACCCAACACAACCCUCUCUACACCACCACCACCACAAGAACUGCACUACCAACACCAACACCAACACAACUUCUCACCAAAUACCCAAAACACACACACACACACACACACACAAACACUCACUAUUCGGGAUUCAUGGUGCCUUUCUUUCGGAUCGGCCUUCUGGGCUAUCUCCCUGCCUUCAACCAAACUUCUGCCACU